UUGGGGUGGUCACUCAGGGAUUCAAGGCACCUAUCAAAGAAUGAAACUUUUCUUUUACUGGCCUAACAUGAGGAAGGAUAUAGAGACUUAUGUGCAGAAGUGUGAUAUUUGCAGCAGGAGCAAGUCUGAGAAUUGUCCAUACCUUGGACUGUUAUAGCCCCUAGCUAUUCCAGAUCAAGCUUGGCAACAAAUUUCAAUGGACUUCAUAGAGGGAUUGCCUAAGUCCUUAGGCAGUGAUGCCUUCUACGUGGUCACGUGGUCGUGGACAGGCUCACUAAGUAUGAAUAUUUCAUCCCUAUAACCUCUCAUUACACUGCUAAGGGC
Molecule: long non-coding RNA, 324 nt
Filed under: Coffea arabica (coffee)
Lineage: Eukaryota; Viridiplantae; Streptophyta; Magnoliopsida; Gentianales; Rubiaceae
Description: long non-coding RNA (CARA_LNC007073)
Source: RNAcentral